AGUGAACGCUGGCGGUAGGCCUAACACAUGCAAGUCGAACGGCCGCACAGUAAGAGCUUGCUCUUACGGGUGGCGAGUGGCGGGCGGGUGAGGAAUACAUCGGCAUCUACUUUGUCGUGGGGGAUAACGUAGGGCAACUUACGCUAAUACAGCAUACGACCUACGGGUGAAAUCAGGAGAUCUUCGGACCUUGCGCGAUUCAAUGAGCCGAUGUCGGAUUAGCUAGUUGGCGGGGUAAAGGACCACCAAGGCGACGAUGCGUAGCUGAGCUGAGAGGAUGAUCGGCCACACUGGAACUGAGACACGGUCCAGACUCCUACGGGAGGCAGCAGCGGGGAAUAUUGGACAAUGGGCGAAAGCCUGAUCCAGCCAUGCCGCGUGAGUGAAGAAGGCCUUCGGGUUGUAAAGCCCUUUUGUUGGGAAAGAAAAGAAGCAGGUUAAUACCCCGAUGUUCUGACGGUACCCAAAGAAUAAGCACCGGCUAACUUCGUG
RNAcentral lists this ribosomal RNA (492 nucleotides) under uncultured bacterium. RNAcentral describes it as "partial 16S ribosomal RNA". It matches the Rfam family "Bacterial small subunit ribosomal RNA", at positions 29 to 507 of the family's 1533-position model. The record is from RNAcentral.